Long non-coding RNA from Magnolia sinica, 1050 nucleotides. RefSeq lists it as uncharacterized. Lineage: Eukaryota; Viridiplantae; Streptophyta; Magnoliopsida; Magnoliales; Magnoliaceae. The transcript is spliced from 2 exons. The record is from RefSeq and is a predicted model, not a curated record.
CUUAAACCUAAACUUAAAAAUCCAAACUUAAACCCGAACCCGAUUUCCUAAACCUAAACCUUAACCUAUUCUCAAAUCCCUAAACCUAAACCUACAUCUAAUCCUAAUCUCAACUCCCUAACCUAAACCUAAACCUAAACUUGAAAACGCAAACCUAAACCGGAUCCCGAACCCGAACUCGAACCCGAUUUCCUAAACCUAAACCUACAUCUAAUCCUAAUCUCAACUCCCUAACCUAAACCUAAACCUAAACUUGAAAACUCAAACCUAAACCCGAUCCCGAACCGAAACUCGAACCCGAUUUUCUAAACCUAAACCUUAACCUAUUCUCAAAUCCCUAAACCUAAACCUACACCUAAUCCUAAUCUCAACUCCCUAACCUAAACCUAAACCUAAACUUGAAAACCCAAACCUAAACCCGAUCCUGAACCCGAACCCGAUUUCCUGACGUUUAUUUUGGCCCUACAAACCAUAUGGUGAGACCAUUCCUUUUGUGUCAAUUUUAUUCCUCUUUGAGCUUUUAUUAAUUCAUUAAGAAAAAAAGAAGAAGAAAAUGGUUAUACAUGAUGCACUUCUUUCACUUUGUUUUUCUUUCCUCCAAUGGUUAUUUUGAUUUGUGAAUGCCAUGACUAUUUGUAGGAUGAUGGAAUAUACGAAGCUAUUGCAGGAAGUGACUUUGUCAUUACUAGAGGUUCAUUUUGAGAUGACUCUUCAAAGUACUACAUAAAUGAGUGUGGAAGUAAUUUUACAGAGGUCACUAAGAAAUUGAAAGGAAAAGGAGUGGACUUGGACUACAAUCAGUUUUUUAUUCUUCAGGGUGAAGUCGAGCAAAUUUCUCUAAUGAAGCCAAAGAUUUGUAUUUUCAGCAUUAUUGUAAUUGUAAUUGUAAUUGAUUGAAUGAAGGAUUGUAAUUGAUUGAAUGAAUGAUUGUAAUUGAUUGUAAUUGAAUGAAUGAUUGUAAUUGAUUGUAAUUGAAUGAAUGAAUGAUUGUAAUUGAUUGUAAUGGAAUGAAUGAAUGAUUAUGUAGGUGGUAAUUGAAUGAAAAAAUAA